Molecule: ribosomal RNA, 585 nt
Filed under: Rhodotorula mucilaginosa
Lineage: Eukaryota; Fungi; Basidiomycota; Microbotryomycetes; Sporidiobolales; Sporidiobolaceae
Description: partial large subunit ribosomal RNA
Rfam family: Eukaryotic large subunit ribosomal RNA
Source: RNAcentral
GCGGAGGAAAAGAAACUAACAAGGAUUCCCCUAGUAGCGGCGAGCGAAGCGGGAAGAGCUCAAAUUUAUAAUCUGGCACCUUCGGUGUCCGAGUUGUAAUCUCUAGAAAUGUUUUCCGCGUUGGACCGCACACAAGUCUGUUGGAAUACAGCGGCAUAGUGGUGAGACCCCCGUAUAUGGUGCGGACGCCCAGCGCUUUGUGAUACAUUUUCGAAGAGUCGAGUUGUUUGGGAAUGCAGCUCAAAUUGGGUGGUAAAUUCCAUCUAAAGCUAAAUAUUGGCGAGAGACCGAUAGCGAACAAGUACCGUGAGGGAAAGAUGAAAAGCACUUUGGAAAGAGAGUUAACAGUACGUGAAAUUGUUGGAAGGGAAACGCUUGAAGUCAGACUUGCUUGCCGAGCAAUCGGUUUGCAGGCCAGCAUCAGUUUUCCGGGAUGGAUAAUGGUAGAGAGAAGGUAGCAGUUUCGGCUGUGUUAUAGCUCUCUGCUGGAUACAUCUUGGGGGACUGAGGAACGCAGUGUGCCUUUGGCGGGGGUUUCGACCUCUUCACACUUAGGAUGCUGGUGGAAUGGCUUUAAACGACCCG